Molecule: transfer RNA, 64 nt
Filed under: Coelioxys fenestratus
Lineage: Eukaryota; Metazoa; Arthropoda; Insecta; Hymenoptera; Megachilidae
Description: Coelioxys fenestrata tRNA-Thr
Source: RNAcentral
AGCUUUAUAGUUUAUUAAAACAUUAAUUUUGUAAAUUAAAAAUAUUUAUUUAAAAUUAAAGCUA